CAUGAAGAAUAGCUUUGUUUGCAUUCUGGUAAGUGCUGAGGCUUUGGCUGAUGACAGCUUUCAGCUGCAGCUGAACUAGGCUGGAUUUGUCUCCUGCUCUCCAUAGGUGAGUGUUUCUCUUCCAGAUCUUUGAAUCAGCUUUCUACACGGCUUAAGUGAUGGAACAGGAAAGACUCCAAUAUGGUAACAACGUGAUUUCUAGUGUUUUGGGUGAGGUUUGCCUGCUGAACAGCAAGACAAAAGAAGCUUAAAUUACAGAAGCAGAGAAGCAGAGACAGUCUAGAGGCUCAAUACAGAAAGAUUGUUUCACGUGUAAUGAAAAGCUAGUGUCCAGAUGAUCACUGCGGCCAGAUGGCAAUUUUGAUGCCCUCGUCACUAAGACUUGUCCAAGCCCUGAUGUAUGUGAAGCUCAUCAGGAGGGAAUGCUCGCAAGAAUCAGCUAACACAAUAGCAGCAAGCUUUCAGUGACAGCGUUCAGGAAGGGUGACGAUUCAGGCUGGGAGCAGGUAUGUCAUCACCUGACUUGACCACAUGUAACUUGAUGCUAGAAGUACACCACGUCCUCCCUCCCUGCAUGGCAAGAGAUUGCUCUCUUCUCCUGCAAAGGCAGCCAAAGUAACUUCUGUGUGCUGACUAGAGAGAGAAAACUUGGUGUCACUCCUCGCAAGUCCUGUGGCAGCCAGAUACUGUGUUAGCCACUCACAGGUAGCAUGUCUUUGGUAUCAGGGUGUAAGAGAAUGAACUCUGUAGGAGCGCUGCUGUCAUAGGCCACCAAGGGCCCGGGAUGCCUGGCUGAAAUUUGAUGUUGCAGAUACCUUGGUGUCACUGGAAUCCAUGGAGUUGACACAGUCCUCUGAUGGCUGGAUUUCGGCUUUCUAAGGGUAUUCCUUUCUGUUUCUCAUCUUUUCGGGUGAUAUUGCUUUGCUUUCCUUGGCUUUUUAGUAAUUCCUAUUUUGGUUAUUGUUUCUGGAAUGG
Gallus gallus (chicken) is the source of this 975-nucleotide long non-coding RNA. RefSeq lists it as uncharacterized. Lineage: Eukaryota; Metazoa; Chordata; Aves; Galliformes; Phasianidae. The transcript has 3 exons. The record is from RefSeq and is a predicted model, not a curated record.